Molecule: ribosomal RNA, 2404 nt
Filed under: Escherichia coli
Lineage: Bacteria; Pseudomonadati; Pseudomonadota; Gammaproteobacteria; Enterobacterales; Enterobacteriaceae
Description: partial 23S ribosomal RNA
Rfam family: Bacterial large subunit ribosomal RNA
Source: RNAcentral
GAGCAGCCCAGAGCCUGAAUCAGUGUGUGUGUUAGUGGAAGCGUCUGGAAAGGCGCGCGAUACAGGGUGACAGCCCCGUACACAAAAAUGCACAUGCUGUGAGCUCGAUGAGUAGGGCGGGACACGUGGUAUCCUGUCUGAAUAUGGGGGGACCAUCCUCCAAGGCUAAAUACUCCUGACUGACCGAUAGUGAACCAGUACCGUGAGGGAAAGGCGAAAAGAACCCCGGCGAGGGGAGUGAAAAAGAACCUGAAACCGUGUACGUACAAGCAGUGGGAGCACGCUUAGGCGUGUGACUGCGUACCUUUUGUAUAAUGGGUCAGCGACUUAUAUUCUGUAGCAAGGUUAACCGAAUAGGGGAGCCGAAGGGAAACCGAGUCUUAACUGGGCGUUAAGUUGCAGGGUAUAGACCCGAAACCCGGUGAUCUAGCCAUGGGCAGGUUGAAGGUUGGGUAACACUAACUGGAGGACCGAACCGACUAAUGUUGAAAAAUUAGCGGAUGACUUGUGGCUGGGGGUGAAAGGCCAAUCAAACCGGGAGAUAGCUGGUUCUCCCCGAAAGCUAUUUAGGUAGCGCCUCGUGAAUUCAUCUCCGGGGGUAGAGCACUGUUUCGGCAAGGGGGUCAUCCCGACUUACCAACCCGAUGCAAACUGCGAAUACCGGAGAAUGUUAUCACGGGAGACACACGGCGGGUGCUAACGUCCGUCGUGAAGAGGGAAACAACCCAGACCGCCAGCUAAGGUCCCAAAGUCAUGGUUAAGUGGGAAACGAUGUGGGAAGGCCCAGACAGCCAGGAUGUUGGCUUAGAAGCAGCCAUCAUUUAAAGAAAGCGUAAUAGCUCACUGGUCGAGUCGGCCUGCGCGGAAGAUGUAACGGGGCUAAACCAUGCACCGAAGCUGCGGCAGCGACGCUUAUGCGUUGUUGGGUAGGGGAGCGUUCUGUAAGCCUGUGAAGGUGUGCUGUGAGGCAUGCUGGAGGUAUCAGAAGUGCGAAUGCUGACAUAAGUAACGAUAAAGCGGGUGAAAAGCCCGCUCGCCGGAAGACCAAGGGUUCCUGUCCAACGUUAAUCGGGGCAGGGUGAGUCGACCCCUAAGGCGAGGCCGAAAGGCGUAGUCGAUGGGAAACAGGUUAAUAUUCCUGUACUUGGUGUUACUGCGAAGGGGGGACGGAGAAGGCUAUGUUGGCCGGGCGACGGUUGUCCCGGUUUAAGCGUGUAGGCUGGUUUUCCAGGCAAAUCCGGAAAAUCAAGGCUGAGGCGUGAUGACGAGGCACUACGGUGCUGAAGCAACAAAUGCCCUGCUUCCAGGAAAAGCCUCUAAGCAUCAGGUAACAUCAAAUCGUACCCCAAACCGACACAGGUGGUCAGGUAGAGAAUACCAAGGCGCUUGAGAGAACUCGGGUGAAGGAACUAGGCAAAAUGGUGCCGUAACUUCGGGAGAAGGCACGCUGAUAUGUAGGUGAAGUCCCUCGCGGAUGGAGCUGAAAUCAGUCGAAGAUACCAGCUGGCUGCAACUGUUUAUUAAAAACACAGCACUGUGCAAACACGAAAGUGGACGUAUACGGUGUGACGCCUGCCCGGUGCCGGAAGGUUAAUUGAUGGGGUCAGCGCAAGCGAAGCUCUUGAUCGAAGCCCCGGUAAACGGCGGCCGUAACUAUAACGGUCCUAAGGUAGCGAAAUUCCUUGUCGGGUAAGUUCCGACCUGCACGAAUGGCGUAAUGAUGGCCAGGCUGUCUCCACCCGAGACUCAGUGAAAUUGAACUCGCUGUGAAGAUGCAGUGUACCCGCGGCAAGACGGAAAGACCCCGUGAACCUUUACUAUAGCUUGACACUGAACAUUGAGCCUUGAUGUGUAGGAUAGGUGGGAGGCUUAGAAGUGUGGACGCCAGUCUGCAUGGAGCCGACCUUGAAAUACCACCCUUUAAUGUUUGAUGUUCUAACGUUGACCCGUAAUCCGGGUUGCGGACAGUGUCUGGUGGGUAGUUUGACUGGGGCGGUCUCCUCCUAAAGAGUAACGGAGGAGCACGAAGGUUGGCUAAUCCUGGUCGGACAUCAGGAGGUUAGUGCAAUGGCAUAAGCCAGCUUGACUGCGAGCGUGACGGCGCGAGCAGGUGCGAAAGCAGGUCAUAGUGAUCCGGUGGUUCUGAAUGGAAGGGCCAUCGCUCAACGGAUAAAAGGUACUCCGGGGAUAACAGGCUGAUACCGCCCAAGAGUUCAUAUCGACGGCGGUGUUUGGCACCUCGAUGUCGGCUCAUCACAUCCUGGGGCUGAAGUAGGUCCCAAGGGUAUGGCUGUUCGCCAUUUAAAGUGGUACGCGAGCUGGGUUUAGAACGUCGUGAGACAGUUCGGUCCCUAUCUGCCGUGGGCGCUGGAGAACUGAGGGGGGCUGCUCCUAGUACGAGAGG